Long non-coding RNA from Oryctolagus cuniculus (rabbit), 885 nucleotides. RefSeq lists it as uncharacterized. Lineage: Eukaryota; Metazoa; Chordata; Mammalia; Lagomorpha; Leporidae. The record is from RefSeq and is a predicted model, not a curated record.
CCUGCCGCGGCCAAGCCGGGCCUGACGUCCGGUUGACCCCUCCUCCUCCCUGUUCGGGCCCCACACAGGCUCCGCCUCUGGUUUCUUGCAUCACGUUUAGGUCCCGCUUCGAUUGGUCGGGGGACCGACGCAGCCCUGCUUCCGCUGGCCCAGCUUGUGCAAGCUUUUGAAGAGGCACGCCAGAGGGGAGGAAAUGAAGAUCCAGUGCCACAGAGGAGAGUUGAAGGCGAGAGAGUGCGGAAGAAGGGGAAAGGAAGUCGCAGCUCUCAUCCAAAAGCUGGAACCUUUGCUCCCCUCCUCACAUGGGGCACAGUGAGAGGAGGCAGGGUACAAAUUUACAGCCAGACCAAAUUUAUUCAGAGAAACUAAAUCUGCACAGGUGGCUGGCGGUCAGUGUGCACAUUGAUGGAACACAUGGCGAGAGGCCCCAACCCCAGGGGCGGGCCUUCUUGUAUCCUAGGAGCGUGGGGGUGGGGAUAAGGGGUGGCAGGCAGAAGUGAAUUCCUCCAUACUGGUCUUUAAGUGCCCAAGAGCCUUCAAAUAUGGGGAAGAAUGUGGGGUGGUGUGUAACCACAAUAGGGUGUGAGACCCAAUUGAGAUGCAGGGACUAGGCAUAAAUUCCAAUGUUCUCUGUCUUUGGGAAGUGAGUGAGAAUGGCUGAAGCUUAUGUCUUGGUUCCAUCGGAAAUGGCAGCCUUCAUUUAGGAAAAGGCAGACGCCCCCUUUCUGAAGUUAGUUGGUCAAGUCCCCUCCUGUUCUGCAGGACCGUGGCUGCUACUGAGUCUCCAUGAUUUUGGAGAGCCACUGAUGACUUAGCUGCAGAUAAUUUGCUGCAGAAGGUGGCUGAUGAAGCAGUUCUCACUCUGGUACUCACUCCAGUUGUUAU